GGAGGGGUCGCAUAGUGGUCUAGUGCGGGCGCCUGCUAAGCGCUUGCCCCGGUAAAACGGGGCCGUGGGUUCGAAUCCCACCCCCUCCGCCA
RNAcentral lists this transfer RNA (92 nucleotides) under Chloroflexota bacterium. Its description in RNAcentral is "Chloroflexi bacterium tRNA-Ser". It matches the Rfam family "tRNA". Rfam says of the family: Transfer RNA (tRNA) molecules are approximately 80 nucleotides in length. Their secondary structure includes four short double-helical elements and three loops (D, anti-codon, and T loops). The record is from RNAcentral. RNAcentral also lists the same sequence under 1 other name. Lineage: Bacteria; Bacillati; Chloroflexota.